This is a long non-coding RNA of Gossypium arboreum, 476 nucleotides long. RefSeq lists it as uncharacterized. The transcript has 2 exons. Lineage: Eukaryota; Viridiplantae; Streptophyta; Magnoliopsida; Malvales; Malvaceae. The record is from RefSeq and is a predicted model, not a curated record.
AAACACCUUCAUUUAUUUUUGAAAUCAGAACACAAUUUUUUGCUAAGGUUCCUUCCACAGGAAGGAAGAAUCACCAUCAGAUUUGGUGUCCAGCAGCGUGCGAAACCAUUCCCGACUCUGCUGCUGUAAAUACUCGACCACCUAUUGAAGAGUUUGAGCUGGUCGUACGGAGAAGAAGACCCCGGAUGAUGUGGAGGCUGGGCGCAAGGGUCUCUCGUGUGAGACCAACUUACUGGUGCCUCUCUAGCUUGUUUGGCAUUCACAAAAGGCUGAAACAACUUUGGGUGUAUUGGGCCUUGCCUUUUGGGCUUAUUUAGGCUAAUUUUUAUUGGAUUUUGGAGAUUUAGAAUUUGGGUCAGACAUUAUGUAAUUGGGCUAAAGAGUUUUGGGAUAUUCGGUUAGAAAAUAGGUUUAUUUUAUUUUUGGUCCAAAUAUUUGUAACCAGACAUUGGACUUUUAAUUUUGGAUUUUUAUUA